AUGGGAGAGUUGACCCACAAUAUAAUCUUUUAAAGAAGUAUAAGAGGCAGAGCAGAGAGAAGGAAAUAGAAGAGUUGAGGUUUUUGUUUAAUGAUAGCUAUAAACAUACAAACCAGGUCAGAAAGUGACUCAAAACUGAAAUGUAGGUCUUAAAACCUGGAUCUAGAAAUAUGGCAAUGAAGCAAAGUAAUUUUUUUCAGGAUAACAAAAUGAGCUCUGGAUUUUCACCUGCAUCUCAGUUGCAUUGCAUACACGCCAACUGCAGCAUCUUUCUUGGAGGGGAGGAUAGAAGAAUCCUUAAAGCAAUGUCAUAAAACUACCUGCAUUCCCAGGACCUACAGGCUCGUUAUUUCUGCAACAAGUCCCAGAAAACACACUACUUUCUCUGUAAGAAACCAGUGAUUGCCAGUACAUCCUAUUUUCCGGAGAAGUACAAGAAACAUUUUUAACAGGUUCCCCUUGCCCUUCUCCCCUCCUCCCAUCUGGAAAGUUCUGGGGAAUCUCAUUUUGGGGGCCAAGUGCAGGCUCUGGAAAGACACUUACCUGAGUCUUCCCGACACCAUGAUGGCAACGCGGUCACAGACGGCCUCAGCCUCAGCCAG
Molecule: long non-coding RNA, 602 nt
Organism: Equus caballus (horse)
Lineage: Eukaryota; Metazoa; Chordata; Mammalia; Perissodactyla; Equidae
Source: RefSeq, a predicted model, not a curated record